AUGUCAGCGGAACAGGCUGGGUUAAGGCUUCACCCCGGAAUUAUUGCAUCUGUGAUCCUGGUGUCAAUGGCGGCCAUCGCUGCAGCCAUAUUGAUCGUGCGAAAAUACUGCUUCCCAGUUAACGAGGCCACAUACAGAUACUCGUUGCUGAGGCGGAUGGAGGAUCAGGGUUCAGCAGGGACGGAGGGGGAUGGCGACAGGGGUCCCUGCACGGUGGGAGAGGAGUCAGACGAGGUCAGUGCUUUUCUGAUUGUAGCUUUCACUGUCAUCUGUUGCACAUUACAAGUCAGCUCGGUUGUAACCUUCCUCAUCACUUCACAUCACAUGUCAUUUGUAACUUCUUUUAUUCUGGUGACAGGAGAUGCUGGAAUAAAAACCUCAGGCCGUGCUGCUGCUGGACCGGAGGCGGGUUUGUUGUCGAUGAAUCGCGUGACUUAAAGGCUGCAGUUAAUGAUUAGGUUCAUUAUGGAUCCUAAAAAUAGUCCGAUCACACAGCUUGUGGUGAUAUAAGCAGAAGGCAUUUUACACAGGGAGGUGUUGGUUUCUGUACUUCUGUGGCUUGAGUUUUAUUAAAUCUGAAAAAUAAACCUAAUGCACUGUAGCUGUGGUGUAAACA
RNAcentral lists this long non-coding RNA (616 nucleotides) under Betta splendens (Siamese fighting fish). RNAcentral describes it as "lncRNA (ENSBSLG00000003499.1)". The record is from RNAcentral. Lineage: Eukaryota; Metazoa; Chordata; Actinopteri; Anabantiformes; Osphronemidae.